UACGAGCUGUGCGAACGUUAUUCGGAAUCACUGGGCUUAAAGGGUGCGUAGGCGGCGACUCAAGUCAGGUGUGAAAUCCCCCGGCUCAACCGGGGAACAGCGCUUGAAACUGGGUUGCUCGAGUGAGGCAGGGGUGUAUGGAACUUCCGGUGGAGCGGUGAAAUGUGUAGAUAUCGGAAGGAACGCCGGCGGCGAAAGCGGUACACUGGGCCUUGUCUGACGCUGAGGCACGAAAGCUAGGGGAGUGAACGGG
Molecule: ribosomal RNA, 253 nt
Filed under: uncultured bacterium
Lineage: Bacteria
Description: partial 16S ribosomal RNA
Rfam family: Bacterial small subunit ribosomal RNA
Source: RNAcentral